GAAGCCUCUAGCCUUUGCUAGUUGGCGGGGUUAAGCCUCUAGCCUUUGCUAGUUGGCGGGGGAUGGGAAAACGAAGCCUCUAGCCUCAUCUACAGUCUUAAAUUGCAUGCAUUUUAGUUUUAGUAUUUAGAAAAUACAAAUAUAAGUUGAGAAUUAAGAUUGAAGUAUGUGAAAUAUAGCCUCUAGCCUUUGCUAGUUGGCGGGGUGAAGCCUCUAGCCUUUGCUAGUUGGCGGGGUGAAGCCUCUAGCCUUUGCUAGUUGGCGGGGUUAAGCCUCUAGCCUUUGCUAGUUGGCGGGGUGAAGCCUCUAGCCUUUGCUAGUUGGCGGGGUGAAGCCUCUAGCCUUUGCUAGUUGGCGGGGAGAAUGGAAAUCACCGCUAUCUUGUGAUAGCCUUGGGUUAAUCUUAGUUUUAACAUAAUUUUAAGUCUUAACUUGCAUGCAAUUUACUUAAUAGGUGACACUUCCCCAUCGGUAGGGGAAAUGCACAAGGUAUUUUGCAUCAAAGAGGGUGUAUCACCCUUGGAGAUGCUGGGAAGUGGAGAUAUUCUUGAGAAAUUCAAGAGUUUUUUACUUCUCUACUCUACUAAGUAUCUUUAAGAGUGAGAGACUCUCAUAGAUACUGUAGAGUACAACAUUCACGCCUGGCGGUCCUUAGUUUAGUGAUAAGUUCAAUCUAUGAUUAGCAACUAUUUAUCAUCAUUUUUUGAUACUUUAAAAUUAGAGAUAUUCUUGAGAAAUUCAAGGGUUCUCUAAUGAGUAUCAUUGAGAGUAAGAAACUCUUAUUGAUACUGUCUUGUACAAACAUACACUCCUGUUGAUUCAGGUAUUCUCUUAGUUCAGUCCAAGUUAAGAUUUGUAACUGUUUAUCUACAUUAUAUAAAAUUGCUUUGUUUUGUAAGUGCUUUACAAGUUUGUUGCAGCUUAGCCUACCAAAUGAAUCCAAGUGCACCAUUGUAGAUAUUUUUUAAAAGCAGGAUUGAUGAACAACUAAACAAACAAUAUUGUGGAGAUACAUGUGAAUUAUAAUGGAGAUGCCACCAGCUAUUCAAUGCAUUGGAGAGCAGCUCUACUACCAAAGUGGAGAUGUGGAUCACUGGAUGUGGUAUGAGAUAUCUGGAAUUUAUAUUUUCAGUAGUCUAGACAGGAUAGAAUUCUCUAACACUUCCCUAUUCUAACACAGAUAUCAAGCUAGGGCCGGGAUGUUUAUGGUGGUUACUAUUAUGACACAGUUCAUCCCGACCCUUCGGCAGUGCCAUGUUCUAUCCGGUUGGUUCUGAGUCCAAUGGGUGCUUUCAAGUUAGAGUCAACUGACCUGCAGAUCGCAUUUCCGCGUGCCAACAACUGGACGAACAUGUGCUACUGUUAGAUUGUGGUUUAUGGAUGGCUGUGGAGUAAGAAAAUCACCUUGAAUAGGGUUUGAGUUGUCAGGGUCCCUGUAGGAUAUUUGCAGUUGUCAGUCGACUAUUACAUUUCUGAUCAGUGCCCUUUGUGGUGGUGCCACAGCUUUUUCAUGAUGGUUGCGGGCUCAGUACAGCACUAAUUUGAUGAGCAGGUGGUACUGUUACACUGUGGCCUGGUCUGACUUGUUCUAUGAGACUGGCGAUGCAAAUAUUAGAUUGUAGUGCCUUCAGCAAACUUAGGGAUGGGGGUGUGAGAAUUAUCUGUCUUAAGAAUUAGAAUUAAGAAAAAUACGUUUAUAUCUGAGGCUGGAGUGAUAUUAAGUAUAGUCUCUAGCCUUUGCUAGUUGGCGGGGUGAAGCCUCUAGCCUUUGCUAGUUGGCGGGGAAGG
This 1788-nucleotide long non-coding RNA is filed under the name Nilaparvata lugens (brown planthopper). Its description in RNAcentral is "uncharacterized LOC120351763". Lineage: Eukaryota; Metazoa; Arthropoda; Insecta; Hemiptera; Delphacidae. The record is from RNAcentral.